Molecule: ribosomal RNA, 306 nt
Filed under: uncultured Desulfobulbus sp.
Lineage: Bacteria; Pseudomonadati; Thermodesulfobacteriota; Desulfobulbia; Desulfobulbales; Desulfobulbaceae
Description: bacterial SSU rRNA
Rfam family: Bacterial small subunit ribosomal RNA
Source: RNAcentral
UUGGGUUAAGUCCCGCAACGAGCGCAACCCUUGCCUUAGUUGCCAGCAGUUCGGCUGGGCACUCUAAAGGGACUGCCGGUGUUAAACCGGAGGAAGGUGGGGAUGACGUCAAGUCCUCAUGGCCUUUAUGACCAGGGCUACACACGUACUACAAUGGCCGAUACAAAGGGCAGCGACACUGCGAGGUGAAGCCAAUCCCGUAAAAUCGGUCUCAGUCCGGAUUGGAGUCUGCAACUCGACUCCAUGAAGUUGGAAUCGCUAGUAAUCGUGGAUCAGCAUGCCACGGUGAAUACGUUCCCGGGCCUU